Molecule: long non-coding RNA, 3345 nt
Organism: Musca domestica (house fly)
Lineage: Eukaryota; Metazoa; Arthropoda; Insecta; Diptera; Muscidae
Exons: 3
Source: RefSeq, a predicted model, not a curated record
CAAUUUUACAGAGAGGACAGAAGGUUUUUCUAAGUGGACCACCCGCAACAAAACUCCGGUUAUGCCGAGCUGGCGAAGGGAUAGACGGUGUGCGGAGCGUCCAGUUAAGAUUUUUAUAUAUAUUUCCCCAAUCGACUCAACGUGGGGAAUUCCCACACCCUGAAAGCCGGGCAUUAUUAGGGAAGUGUUGGCCCCUUUUAAGUUAUUUCUAAGAACGUUUACUUUUUGCUUACUUUCCUCAGAUUUCCACGAGUUCAUCCCCUGGUUUUGGAUAAUGGCAAUGGCUGUUUUUUUGUUUGAUAGAACCGAUUCAAAUCGUUCAGGGGAUUGUUUCAGCGAUUCGUCCUGAGUCUCAUUCACUUCUCGGGGUUUCCUGCCGGACGUGUCUCCCCCGUAGUUUCCACGCCCCUCCGGUAGUUUCCCUUUUGACAAUUUGGACAUUUGGGAGUUAUCGUGUUUUGCUUACCACAUCGAUAGCAAAACAACGACCUUGCUGUGGAUGGACAAUCCACGAAUGUGUGCCCUGAUUCCUGACAAUUCCAGCAAACAUACACCUUGUUGUGCUGUUGUGCCAUCCGAAUAGCAGAGACAGUAUCAGGUUCACAUCUCUAGACUGAACUCUUCUAGUCCCCGGUGUAAGAAAAUUGUCACCCUCAUUUUCUAUCCCAGUUGGUGCAGUUUGAGGGUUAUUAUCUAUGUUCCCAUGACCAGGACGAUUUAUAAUGGUGGAAGAUAAGUCCCUAAAUUGCCCUGUAUUUUCCAUGUUUCCAGUUUCUAAUUCAUUCAUCUUUUUCUUUUUAGGUUCGAUUUGACCUUGAUCGGAAUUAGCAUCAAAAUGUAACGGCCAGUUUCUUUUAUUCGCUGUCUUUGACCUGGUAUACAUUCCCUAAACUACGUUUUCUAUAUAGAUAAAACUAGUUGUUAAAAUGCACUUUGAUACUUUUACUAUCUUAUCUUAGACUUAAAGUCUUUAAUUUCUCUUUUUUUUUUUUUUUUUUUUUUUUUGAUUCUUGAUCGAGUUUAAUUUAAAUUAUUUGGUAUUUACCAGUCAAUAAAAUUACAAGUUUAUCAUCAAAAAUUGUAAUUUUCUAUAUUCUUUCACUUAUUAUUUUUAAUAUAUAUAUAUUUUUUUUUUAUGGAAGGUUUAUGGUAGUGUUUGUAAGGUAGAUGAAAUGGGAGCACAUUGGCUAAAAAAAAUCUAAUUGUUAUUAUCGCCAAUCUUUUCCUCAGACGAAUUAAAUCACAUUAUUUUACUGCUUAAAGCCAAUAAAAAUGAGCGUUUAAAAAUCCUCAGAAUGUCCUUAUAAACUUAUAAUAUAUGUAUAUGAACAAAUAAAUCUUCUAAGACUAGCUGCCAUUGCAUUGCUUCCCUCUUUUUAUUGAAAGUAAAGAUCAUAUGGGUUGUGGCCAUCGACACUUAUCUCACGGGAAUUAUUCACCUGGGAUGCCGAUUUCUUAUAGCCAGCAAAAUCUUAUCUUGGAUCUAUUCAAAAUUAUAAAAAAAAAAACAGUACAAAACAUCACAGGUCGAUUACAACAUUCAUAGUUACAAAAACACAACUAGAGAUUGCACUAAGACCCUUUCCUAUAAAUCUAGCCAAUAUUAUUCUAAUACUAAUAUUGCACAUUUAAUCAGAACCUAUCUAAUCCAUAGGUCUGGUUGCAAUACCAGUUAGAUACUUUAGCUGAGGACUAGAUUUCGAAACUAUUGAAUCUAGGCUGAUCUAUUGCUUUGUGUUUGGGUAUUACACACAAUAAACAUUACUUUUCCUUGAAUUACCAAUAUGGCAAUCUAGGUAUUUAUUUCUAAAUUGGGCGCCAUUCUGUUAUGACCGCUCUUACAGUAUCGGUUUGGCCUUCCGGCUGCUCAAGACUCUCAGGUAGGUUCUCAACCGCCAAACGAACUUCGGGUCCAACAUCAUUUAUUUCAUGGGUGAACGAAUACAAAUAUUUACUCUAAAACAAAACACACAGAGAACAUUCCUUGAGGAUUUUAAGGUCCCUUGCUGUUCGGAACCCCCACUCGGCCCACCCUACCAUGGUCCACGAAACCCUAUUUUUCAUUAUGUGGACCCCAUUGACUCCCUUACUCUAUUCACCACCCCACUCGACCAUAAUCCUUCCAAUAAUUUUUUCUCAAACAAUAUUCAUUUUAAUUCUUAUAAUACGAUUCACAUUUUUAUUCGGACAUUAAAAUUAGGAAGCUGAAUAUCGAAAUUACAAAGUCGAAAGGACCUUAUUAUUAGAUUUGCUUUCUUAUAUUGUCAAAAAUUAAAUUUAUUCCCUAUCAGGACCUAUACUAAGGGGAUUGGGUAUUUUUCACUGGCUUGAAAUUUCGCCAGAAAGUUACCGACUAUGUUAAGACGCCUACCUAAUCGAGCUCAAUUAAGUAUAUAAUAUUUCCGAGACCAUCUACGUCUCACGACAAAAAAAAACGGUUUAUAAGACCCCUGCCCUUGAUAUAUAGUCCCUUACAAUAAAUAAAAAAAUAAAGAAAAAACAAUCACAACAAAAAUACUAUAAUAACACAAAAAUGUAAAUAAAAAAACUUAGACUAAGAUUUACGUAAAUUGUUUCCUCGAAUAAGUAUCAAAAAAAAAUAUAAUAAAAGUAUCAAAAAAAAUAAAAAUUAAUAAAGUCAAACUUGGGUUGUUUUCUUCUGCGCCUAACGGCCGGCUAUAGUUUCCAAAGUAUAAGGAUGUUUAUCGUUUUAUAACACUUUGUUACCUUGCUGUUAUACUGAACUCUUCCUGGGCCACUGGUAUAUUAGUUUUCCUUUCUCAGCGAGAAAACUGACAUAAAAUCACGACCAUAUGAUGAAUUUUGCAGUGUUGAAAUAUAUUUCGGAUAGAGUCCACUUUUCAGCAGCUGAUCUUAGGCACUGGCACAAUUGGCAUACACAGGGUGUUUGGUGACCACAGGAUGCAGCUGACAAUCGCUAGCUGCCGAGCGUAUCUUUAAGAAAUUAUCAGCGUUCAGAUACUAAGGUUUUCUUUAAGCAGCUACGAACGUCAGUCCAAUUUUUCGUAUUGCUCUUGAACUUUUCACAAUCCUUUUUAUUUGGAAGUGUUCGCUGGCUAUCAUGCCUUUAAACUUUAUUUAACUCUUUAUGAAUAGUUUGCUUGUUUUAUUUUUUUUUAUUCUGUUACAAUUGUUUUGGAAACACGCAUAAAAUUACGCUCGCACUGAAACCGUUCACAAAAUAAAAAGAAAGCUUCUUCGUGCUGACUUUGCUUUUAUAUGCGCAUAUUCCAACUGCAACAUAAUUCCAAUAAUGCAUUUAAUAUUGGUAUUAAUACAAUAUAAUUUCUCUUUCUUCCGCCAUCAUUGACGUUAUUUGGGAAA